UACGGGGGGAGCAAGCGUUGUUCGGAUUUACUGGGCGUAAAGGGCGCGUAGGCGGUCAGCACAAGUCAAUUGUGAAAUCUCCGAGCUUAACUCGGAAAGGUCAACUGAAACUGUGCGACUAGAGUGCGGAAGGGGCAACUGGAAUUCUUGGUGUAGCGGUGAAAUGCGUAGAUAUCAAGAGGAACACCUGCGGCGAAGGCGGGUUGCUGGGCCGACACUGGCGCUGAAGCGCGAAAGCCAGGGGAGCGAACGGG
Molecule: ribosomal RNA, 254 nt
Filed under: uncultured bacterium
Lineage: Bacteria
Description: partial 16S ribosomal RNA
Rfam family: Bacterial small subunit ribosomal RNA
Source: RNAcentral